UACGUAGGGUCCGAGCGUUUGUCCGGAAUUAUUGGGCGUAAAGGGCUCGUAGGCGGUCUGUUGCGUCAGGAGUGAAAAACUCGGGGGCUUAACCCCCGAGCCUGCUUCUGAUACGGGCAGACUAGAGGUAUGCAGGGGAGAACGGAAUUCCUGGUGUAGCGGUGAAAUGCGCAGAUAUCAGGAGGAACACCGGUGGCGAAGGCGGUUCUCUGGGCAUUACCUGACGCUGAGGAGCGAAAAGUGUGGGGGAGCGAACAGG
This 259-nucleotide ribosomal RNA is filed under the name uncultured bacterium. RNAcentral's name for it is "partial 16S ribosomal RNA". It matches the Rfam family "Bacterial small subunit ribosomal RNA", at positions 524 to 776 of the family's 1533-position model. The record is from RNAcentral.